RNAcentral lists this long non-coding RNA (2977 nucleotides) under Piliocolobus tephrosceles (Ugandan red Colobus). RNAcentral describes it as "lncRNA (ENSPTEG00000008259.1)". Lineage: Eukaryota; Metazoa; Chordata; Mammalia; Primates; Cercopithecidae. The record is from RNAcentral.
CAAGACGAACAUAUUAAUAAAGAAAAGAAAAGGAUUAAAAAAACAAAGAAUAACCGAAUAAAGAGUUAAACAGAUAAAAAACAAAAUGCAAAAGAAACAUUUUAUAUAUAAAAAAAUGUUUAUACAAAUUUUAAAACUAAUAAAAAAAAUAAACUAGUACGAUAUGUAUAUACAUCCUUGCGCUCGAGACAUUUAAUUUACUAGAUUAAUAAAUAAUAUAUAUGAAACACAUACGAACAAAUACAAGUAUAUCUUCUUGUAUUACACUGAGCACAAACACAUACUUUAUAAUUAAUCAAAUGUAAAAUUAUUUAACCAAUUAAUAUUUGUCUACUAAAAUAAAACACAAAAUUGAUAAAUAAGGACUACCAAAUGAAUAAAGAAUAUAAAAAUAUAUAAAUAAUAAAUAAAUAAUGAAAAAUUGAUAAAAUAUUUUACAAGAAAAACUAGUUAAAUGAAACACUUACAAACAUGUAAUUUUUUGAAUGUAAAUAAACAGGUUAGUAAAAAAUUAAAAACACAAUUAUUAUUUAAUUAUAGAAAAGAUAAAAUCAGUCAAUAUAUAAGAGUCUUUCAAAAUUUUAAUAAUAAAAAUGAAAAAUACAAAAAUGUAUUAACGAGUAAUAAUAUAAUACGUGAAUGUAAGAAUAUUUUAAAUUGUCAAGGUAAUCAUACUGUAAGAAUAGAUAAAAGUAAAAAGUUAUUUGUAUAUAAAAAUGUAAAUGAUAUAGCAGAAAAUCGAGAGCGGUUGCAAGGACAUGAACAAGGGAAAGAACAAGAACAAGGGCAUGAACAAGAACAAGGGCAAGGACAAGAACAAGGGCAAGGACAAGGACAAGAACAAGGGCAAGGACAAGAACAAGGGCAGGAACAAGAGCAGAAACAAGAGCAAGUACAAGCACAAUCGCAGGAACAAAAAAAAAGUCAACCAUCACCGACUCUGCUACAUACAAAAAUGAUAGAACAAUCUGAGCUUGUUAAAAGAAUAAGAAAGUAUUGCAGAACGGAUGAUUUAUGCAACAUAUACAAAUUUAAUGACAAUUUUUUACAUCUUCUAAAAUUGAAAAAGCUGAAUGAAAGUGAUUUUUCUAUUAUCAUUCAUUUGUUAUGUAAAAAAAAAUUUCAAGAUAAUAGUUUUUGGAGAAGUAUCGCAAACACUGAGAAUAUAAAUUAUAUUUUUAACAUGAAUCUUAAAAAAAUAAUUCUAUCAUUUUAUAGUGUUGUUAAUUCUUUUAAAUAUAUUCAUAUGAAUUUUUUACAUCAAUUUACCCAUAUUUUAAUUUUUAUUUUAUAUUGUCAAAAACAUUUUUUUUUAUUAAAUAGAGAGAAGAAAAAUAACGAAGAUGAAAAAAGAAAAAAAAUGAUUUCAGCGCUAUGCAAUUUUUAUUCGAAUAAUAAUUUGAAAAAAAUAAAUUUGCAUUUAACGAGUAAUUGGACAAAAGGGGAACAUAUAUACGCAAAAUUUACGGAUAAUGUAACUAAUAAUGUAAAUGGUAUUACUACUGCUACUGCUGCUACUGCUACUGCUACUGCUACUGUUACUGCUACUGCUACUGCUACUGCUGCUACUGCUACUGCUGCUACUGCUACUGCUACUACUACAACCAACACUACUAAUAGUAACAACGCUAUAAAUCAACUUGCGGUGAGCUAUGCACAAAACAAUAACAAUAAUUGGUCUAAAUUAAUAAGAGAAAUAACUAUAGAAAAUUUUAAUAGUAUUUUUAAUAAUCAAAAAAAUCAGUUAAAUUUUUUAGACUUAACAUUAAUAUGUAAUACAUAUUCCAAACUGAAUAAUAUACAACAAGUGGAAAAUAUAGAAGAGUUAAAAAAUAUAUUAUACAAAUUAUUUCUUUAUUUUUUAUUUUAUAAUAAUAACAUUGAUUAUAAUCAUUUAAUUUUAUUUAUUUACAGUUAUAACAAAAUCAAAGGAAAAAUAAACAAUUGUAUAUUGUUUAAAAUAAAACAUAUAUUACUCGAAGAUAAAAUAAGCAUAUAUACAUAUUUAGAUAGCACAUAUAAAUUUCCAUGUAUACUCACGUUAGAUAUAUGUUCACUCAAUUUGCUUAUGCAUGUAUUACAAUGGAAUAAUUUUAAAGACCUUGUAUUUUUAGAAAAAAUCAUACUUUCUUUUGUUAUUAACUUAAAUAUAAAUAAGACUAAAAAAUAUAAAACGAAGGAUGGUAUAUUAAGUAAUAAUGAUAAUCUGACAUGUGGUUCGAUAAGUUAUCCUUAUGUAUAUAUAAAUGAUAUUAAUGAUGAUGCAAUAAAUGGAGCUAAAGGUUUGAUAGCGAAUGAAGUUAUUAAUACGGUCACAAAUGAAACCACAAAUGAAGCCACAAAUGAAGCCACAAAUGAAGCCACAAAUGAAGCCACAAAUGAAGCCACAAAUGAAACCACUAAUACAAUUACAAACUAUGGCAAUACCAAACUCAUGAACACUAAAUUAUAUGGUAUACAACACAUUUAUAAUUUGAACAUAUUAAAAAGUAAAUUAAUGCUUAUGCAAUAUUUUAAUAAGAACAAUAACACAUAUACAUACACCCAAAAAGAAAAUUUAAUUAAAUUAAAAAAAAAGGACUUAUGUUUUUUAGCAUAUAAUAUAUAUAAAUUAAAUAUAAAAAAUUAUUAUAAUAUAUAUGAAUAUAUACAGAACGAAACUAUUAAUCAGAUACACAUUUUUAAUGUUUAUAAUUGUUGUAUAAUGUUACAUUGUUUGGUAAAUUUAAAAUUGUUGAAAAAUCAAAAAUUGUUUAACACUAUUUUCUCGCAUUUAAAAAUACAAUUUAAUAAAAACCAUUAUAAUGAAAAAGAUGUCAUUGAUAUUUUUGUAUCUUUUUUUAAAUAUGCACAAACUAAUCCUAGCAACAAUAAUGAAAUACAACUAUUUUUAAAAAAUGUAUAUACAAAUAUUGAGUUUAAAUUAAAAAAGUAUAAUUAUAUGAAUACGAUUGAUAUAUUUUGUUCUGCCUCUUAU